Molecule: long non-coding RNA, 507 nt
Filed under: Populus tremula
Lineage: Eukaryota; Viridiplantae; Streptophyta; Magnoliopsida; Malpighiales; Salicaceae
Description: long non-coding RNA (PTRE_LNC000904)
Source: RNAcentral
GUUAGUACUUGUCGAAAUGCUAAUAGUGUCCAAUGUUGAUGCCGACAACACUCCUGCCUUUUUAUCCAGUCGUUUCAAAGGCCCCCAUCAUGGACACUAACUGGUACUUGUGGACACUCCUGUUAACUAAACAUGUGCUCGUACAUUUACUGUGCAAUUUGAGAUGAAAAAUAAUUUUAGGGAAUCUAAGAACAUCUUUAAUCACACCGCGUCAGAAUGUUAAACGAAGCACGGGUCUUGUAAGAGAAAUUUAGGUGUAUCAGGGUUUAAUGCGAUGAUUUCCAAACAAUAAGCAAGUAAUUCGGACUGGUAUGAGAGGCUAUAGUUUUCGAACCUCCAUGAAUUGAAAAGCAGACAGCAAGAACGUUACCUAGUAUUUAAUACUUGGCAGGAUCGAAUACACGAACACAUGAGCCAGUUUUUCACUUCUCUGCUGUCUGAAUACCUGUACCGAAUUAUAAGACUAUGGUCUGACACGGAAAAGGAUGGCAGAUUGGGAGCCAAAGG